UAGAGUUUGAUCCUGGCUCAGAACGAACGCUGGCGGCGCGCCUAACACAUGCAAGUCGAACGAGAAUGCAGGCUUCGGUCUGCUAGUAAAGUGGCGCACGGGUGAGUAACACGUGGAUAACGUACAUUGUAGUGGGGGAUAACCAGGUGAAAGCUUGGCUAAUACCGCAUGAGUCUGUCGGGACGCAGGUUUUGACAGGGAAAGUGAGCAAUCACGCUACGAGAUCGGUCCGCGGCCCAUUAGCUAGUUGGCGGGGUAAUGGCCCACCAAGGCGACGAUGGGUAGCUGGUCUGAGAGGAUGAUCAGCCACACUGGGACUGAGACACGGCCCAGACUCCUACGGGAGGCAGCAGUGGGGAAUUUUGGACAAUGGGGGCAACCCUGAUCCAGCCAUGCCGCGUGAGUGAAGAAGGCCUUCGGGUUGUAAAGCUCUUUUGGUCGGGAAGAAAGUGCCCUGAUUAAUACGCGGGGUAUUUGACGGUACCGGCAGAAUAAGCACCAGCGAACUACGUGCCAGCAGCCGCGGUAAUA
This 531-nucleotide ribosomal RNA is filed under the name uncultured bacterium. RNAcentral describes it as "bacterial SSU rRNA". It matches the Rfam family "Bacterial small subunit ribosomal RNA", at positions 1 to 525 of the family's 1533-position model. The record is from RNAcentral.